CCUACGGGAGGCAGCAGUGAGGAAUCUUGGUCAAUGGGCGCGAGCCUGAACCAGCCAAGUAGCGUGAAGGAUGACUGCCUUACGGGCUGUAAACUUCUUUUAUAAAGGAAUACAGUGAUGCACGUGUGCCUUUUUGUAUGUACUUUAUCAAUUAGGAUCGGCUAACUCCGUGCCAGCAGCCGCGGUAAUACGGAGGAUCCGAGCGUUAUCCGGAUUUAUUGGGUUUAAAGGGAGCGUAGAUGGGUUGUUAAGUCAGUUGUGAAAGUUCGCGGCUCAAACGUAAAAUUGCAAUUGAUACUGGCAGUCUUGAGUACAGAUGAGGUAAGCGGAAUUCGUGGUGUAGCGGUGAAAUGCUUAGAGAUCACGAAGAACUCCGAUUGCGAAGGCAGCUUACUAAACUGCCACUGACAUUGAUGCGCGAAAGUGUGGGUAUCAAACAGGAUUAGAUACCCCUGUAGUC
This 460-nucleotide ribosomal RNA is filed under the name uncultured bacterium. RNAcentral's name for it is "partial 16S ribosomal RNA". It matches the Rfam family "Bacterial small subunit ribosomal RNA", at positions 338 to 795 of the family's 1533-position model. The record is from RNAcentral.